UUUAAAGUGGCAGAUAAAUGCGCUGGAUUUAAGCUCCAGAGAUGGGAUUAUUUUUCUCCUUUAAAA
This 66-nucleotide transfer RNA is filed under the name Hoploplana elisabelloi. Its description in RNAcentral is "tRNA-Leu". Lineage: Eukaryota; Metazoa; Platyhelminthes; Polycladida; Hoploplanidae. The record is from RNAcentral.